UACCGAGGGGGCAAGCGUUGUUCGGAAUUACUGGGCGUAAAGGGUUCGUAGGUGGCCACCUAAGUCAGACGUGAAAUCCCUCAGCUUAACUGGGGAACUGCGUCUGAUACUGGGUGGCUUGAGUGCAGGAGAGGAAUGCGGAAUUCCAGGUGUAGCGGUGAAAUGCGUAGAUAUCUGGAGGAACACCGGUGGCGAAGGCGAGUCCCUGGACAACUUCUGACGCUGAGGCACGAAAGCUAGGGGAGCAAACAGG
This 253-nucleotide ribosomal RNA is filed under the name uncultured bacterium. RNAcentral describes it as "partial 16S ribosomal RNA". It matches the Rfam family "Bacterial small subunit ribosomal RNA", at positions 524 to 776 of the family's 1533-position model. The record is from RNAcentral.